GGUGCCGACGCAGCAACAGGUGAGGUGCCGAGGUGCCGACGCAGAGUGAUAGUGGGAGAAGAAAGGUGUGGGAGAAAUGUGUUGUUCGCUGCAGAAGGGAGAGUAGAGCCUUUCAGGUAUACGCCACCGGAGCAGCGCCGUUCGGCAGGGAAAUUUAAAAACUGACAGCGAGUUCAUCAGUUAUUAAGAACUGACAGCGAGUGUUUCAAAUAUUAAGAACUGAGAGCGACCCUGCCUGCUCCAGCUGACGGAUUUGAGACUUAUUCCGAUCUCCUUUAUGAACCGCUCGUAGACUUUGAGUUCGAGCAAAUGAACAAGCUGUAUCUGUAUAAGGUAUAGAAGUUGGAUCAGAGGCAGUGCGGUAUCUUGGUGUUGGCGACGAUAAAGGUGAUUGGACUGAUAGCCUUGACCUUAGUAGUAGUCGAUAAUGCCCUUCUUCAGCGGUAAGUAGUGAAUACGAUUGAUUUCCAGUUAACAGUGGAGAAUUGCCUGUUCAAGUUCCAGGUAAGGAGUAAUAAGAAUAUGAAUAAGAAGCGGGAAGUUACGUUA
Non-coding RNA from Musa acuminata subsp. malaccensis (wild Malaysian banana), 549 nucleotides. The record is from RefSeq and is a predicted model, not a curated record. Lineage: Eukaryota; Viridiplantae; Streptophyta; Magnoliopsida; Zingiberales; Musaceae.